This 1117-nucleotide long non-coding RNA is filed under the name Mus spicilegus (steppe mouse). Its description in RNAcentral is "lncRNA (ENSMSIG00000030730.1)". Lineage: Eukaryota; Metazoa; Chordata; Mammalia; Rodentia; Muridae. The record is from RNAcentral.
GGUCAAAGGAAUUGUGGUAUACUUAGCCAAUGAGAAGUGGUCAUAUGGGAAAAUAAGUCAAAUAGAGAUUAUAAAAUGAUUAAUGGAAAAAUAAACAAUAUUAAAUGACAGAAGGAGGCUGCAGAACAAGUGAGAAUAACAUAAGGGUUAAAAUAUACUACAGGAUAUAAUAUUUGUGGAUGUGUAAUUUCGCAACAUUUUGAUAUUAUCAUUAAUGUUAAUACUUAUCCAUAAUUUCGUAAUGUCUUCAAGAGAAAACAGUGGUCGAUGAACAACCAAUUCAGUACAUAGCAACUGUUGCUGGGGAGGAAAAGAGGUUUCUGCUGAGUCCGUCUUACCGGGAGAUUGGUGACUAGAAGAAAGGUGCACACAUCUACACUCAUGCAUGUAUUUAAAAUCUGAGGUAAAUGUUGAGACAUCCCAUAAUGAUUGUAUUUACCUAAGAAGAAAAAUAGAUUUCCUGAAAUCCCAGCACUUGCUGAUAUCAAAGCUGCAUUAAUUCUACACACAGAUACUAUUUUAAAUAUGGAAACUUCUGCAAAACCAGUCCCUGUCUUGAACUAUCUGGUGACUCGUGAGGACGUGGGUGGAGUACACCAAUGAUCAUGUGCAGAAGAGACGUGAGUAGAGAAAGCAAAACUGGAUACUUCAAGAACUAGGCAAAGCUGUAACUAGGCACACUUGAUGAGGAAGGGCUUUUUCUUAGAGAGUGAGCUGGAAUGGAAUGGUUAGAACACAGUAAGGUUGCAAGGGUGGAAGCAACUAUGGGAGAUGGAGACUGCUGGACACUGUAGAAGAAGAUUCAUUGCUGUGAUCCAGGCUCUAGGCCAUUGACAUUGUGUGGUCUCGGGGGGGGGGGGUAAAGUGUAAGCUAGUUCUACAGAGAAAGACCCAGUCUUAACAACAAGGCAUAGAGUUUGCAUUGUAAGCAAGUGGGCAUUUGCGGAGGAACAAGAUGACAGAGUUCCAUUUUAACUAUCACCAGGAAGUGGGUGGAGACCAUACUGAAGGUUGAGGGUGUGAGGCAGGGGAGGUUUAUUAACAGAAGAAAGGAUACUCAUGGGGCUGAUGUUGCUAUAGUGGAAGUUAUUGUUAGAGUUGUGAGUUAAAGAGAGAA